UACGUAGGGUGCAAGCGUUGUCCGGAAUUAUUGGGCGUAAAGAGCUCGUAGGCGGUCUGUCGCGUCGGCUGUGAAAACUCGGGGCUCAACUCCGAGCUUGCAGUCGAUACGGGCAGGCUAGAGUUCGGCAGGGGAGACUGGAAUUCCUGGUGUAGCGGUGAAAUGCGUAGAUAUCGGGAGGAACACCAGUGGCGAAGGCGACUUCCUGGCCUGUUCUUGACGCUGAGGCGCGAAAGCUAGGGGAGCAAACGGG
This 253-nucleotide ribosomal RNA is filed under the name uncultured bacterium. Its description in RNAcentral is "partial 16S ribosomal RNA". It matches the Rfam family "Bacterial small subunit ribosomal RNA", at positions 524 to 776 of the family's 1533-position model. The record is from RNAcentral.